CGCAACCCUUGUCCUUAGUUACCAGCACGGUUAUGGUGGGCACUCUAAGGAGACUGCCGGUGACAAACCGGAGGAAGGUGGGGAGUGACGUCAAGUCAUCAUGCCCUUACGGCCUGGGCUACACACGUGCUACAAUGGUCGGUACAAAGGGUUGCCAAGCCGCGAGGUGGAGCUAAUCCCAUAAAACCGAUCGUAGUCCGGAUCGCAGUCUGCAACUCGACUGCGUGAAGUCGGAAUCGCUAGUAAUCGUGAAUCAGAAUGUCACGGUGAAUACGUUCCCGGGCCUU
RNAcentral lists this ribosomal RNA (287 nucleotides) under uncultured Pseudomonas sp. Its description in RNAcentral is "partial 16S ribosomal RNA". It matches the Rfam family "Bacterial small subunit ribosomal RNA", at positions 1097 to 1382 of the family's 1533-position model. Lineage: Bacteria; Pseudomonadati; Pseudomonadota; Gammaproteobacteria; Pseudomonadales; Pseudomonadaceae. The record is from RNAcentral.